GACGAACGCUGGCGGCGUGCUUAACACAUGCAAGUCGAACGGUGAAGCUCCAGCUUGCUGGAGUGGAUCAGUGGCGAACGGGUGAGUAACACGUGAGCAACCUGCCCCUGACUCUGGAAUAAGCGCUGGAAACGGCGUCUAAUACUGGAUACGAGAAGGGUCCGCAUGGGCACUUUCUGGAAAGUUUUUCGGUUGGGGAUGGGCUCGCGGCCUAUCAGCUUGUUGGUGAGGUAAUGGCGCACCAAGGCGACGACGGGUAGCCGGCCUGAGAGGGCGACCGGCCACACUGGGACUGAGACACGGCCCAGACUCCUACGGGAGGCAGCAGUGGGGAAUAUUGCACAAUGGGCGAAAGCCUGAUGCAGCGACGCCGCGUGAGGGAUGACGGCCUUCGGGUUGUAAACCUCUUUCAGCAGGGAAGAAGCGAAAGUGACGGUACCUGCAGAAGAAGCACCGGCUAACUACGUG
This 468-nucleotide ribosomal RNA is filed under the name uncultured bacterium. Its description in RNAcentral is "partial 16S ribosomal RNA". It matches the Rfam family "Bacterial small subunit ribosomal RNA", at positions 28 to 507 of the family's 1533-position model. The record is from RNAcentral.